CCCAGGCUGGUCGUUUGGCCCCCGCUGGUCGUUUGGCCCCUGACUGUUGAUUUGCCCCUGGUCUGUCGUUUGGCCCCUGGCCUUUGGUUUGGCCCCAGGGUUUGUCGUUUGGCCCCAGACUUGUCGUUUGGCCCCAGGUUGUCGUUUGGCCCCAGGUUUGUCGUCUGGCCCCAGGUUUGUCGUCUGCGCCCCAGGUUUGUCGUCUGGCCCCAGGUGUCGUGUCGCUGGCCCCAGGUUUGUCGUCUGGCCCCAGGUUUGUCGUCUGGCCCCAGGUUUGUCGUCUGGCCCCAGGUUUGUCGUCUGGCCCCAGGUUUGUCGUCUGGCCCCAGGUUUGUCGCCCAUUUCAAGUAGCCGGUUAGACUAUCUUCAGACCUAGACCAGGACUCUGAUGGAGCGGGGUCGCUGCAGCAAAGAGAUGCAGAGGUUGAUGCGUAACGUCUGCCACAUAAGUGGGACGUUCUCAUGAACCUGACGGAGGGGCCGUCCGUCUGUCCGUCCGGGCCCCUAGCGUCCGUCUGACGUACCUAACGCUCAUCCUGCGCCCGCGCCCCCC
Gadus macrocephalus (Pacific cod) is the source of this 553-nucleotide long non-coding RNA. RefSeq lists it as uncharacterized. The transcript is spliced from 3 exons. NCBI's taxonomy places the organism in Eukaryota, Metazoa, Chordata, Actinopteri, Gadiformes, Gadidae. The record is from RefSeq and is a predicted model, not a curated record.